RNAcentral lists this unclassified non-coding RNA (250 nucleotides) under plant metagenome. Its description in RNAcentral is "partial contains small subunit ribosomal RNA, internal transcribed spacer 1, and 5.8S ribosomal RNA". The record is from RNAcentral.
GUAGGUGAACCUGCGGAAGGAUCAUUAAAGAGUUCAUGCCCUCGCGGGUAGAUCUCCCACCCUUGAAUAUAAUACCUUUGUUGCUUUGGCGGGCCGCCCUGUCCACCGGCUCCGGCUGGUGUGUGCCCGUCAGAGGACCCUAAACUCUGAAUUAAAGUGUCGUCUGAGUACUAUAUAAUAGUUAAAACUUUUAACAACGGAUCUCUUGGUUCUGGCAUCGAUGAAGAACGCAGCAUCUGACUGACUAAGA